RNAcentral lists this ribosomal RNA (1470 nucleotides) under metagenome. RNAcentral's name for it is "bacterial SSU rRNA". It matches the Rfam family "Bacterial small subunit ribosomal RNA". The record is from RNAcentral.
AGAGUUUGAUCCUGGCUCAGGACGAACGCUGGCGGCACGCUUAACACAUGCAAGUCGAACGAGAGAAGAGGAGCUUGCUUUUCUGAUCUAGUGGCGGACGGGUGAGUAACACGUGAGCAAUCUGCCUUUCAGAGGGGGAUACCGAUUGGAAACGAUCGUUAAUACCGCAUAACAUAAUUGAACCGCAUGAUUUGAUUAUCAAAGAUUUAUCGCUGAAAGAUGAGCUCGCGUCUGAUUAGCUAGUUGGUAAGGUAACGGCUUACCAAGGCGACGAUCAGUAGCCGGACUGAGAGGUUGAUCGGCCACAUUGGGACUGAGACACGGCCCAGACUCCUACGGGAGGCAGCAGUGGGGAAUAUUGCACAAUGGAGGAAACUCUGAUGCAGCGAUGCCGCGUGAGGGAAGAAGGUUUUAGGAUUGUAAACCUCUGUCUUCAGGGACGAAAAAAGACGGUACCUGAGGAGGAAGCUCCGGCUAACUACGUGCCAGCAGCCGCGGUAAUACGUAGGGAGCGAGCGUUGUCCGGAAUUACUGGGUGUAAAGGGAGCGUAGGCGGGAUCGCAAGUCAGAUGUGAAAACUAUGGGCUUAACCCAUAAACUGCAUUUGAAACUGUGGUUCUUGAGUGAAGUAGAGGUAAGCGGAAUUCCUAGUGUAGCGGUGAAAUGCGUAGAUAUUAGGAGGAACAUCAGUGGCGAAGGCGGCUUACUGGGCUUUAACUGACGCUGAGGCUCGAAAGCGUGGGGAGCAAACAGGAUUAGAUACCCUGGUAGUCCACGCCGUAAACGAUGAUUACUAGGUGUGGGGGGACUGACCCCUUCCGUGCCGCAGCAAACGCAAUAAGUAAUCCACCUGGGGAGUACGACCGCAAGGUUGAAACUCAAAGGAAUUGACGGGGGCCCGCACAAGCAGUGGAGUAUGUGGAUUAAUUCGAAGCAACGCGAAGAACCUUACCAGGUCUUGACAUCGUAUGCAUAGCUCAGAGAUGAGUGAAAUCUCUUCGGAGACAUAUAGACAGGUGGUGCAUGGUUGUCGUCAGCUCGUGUCGUGAGAUGUUGGGUUAAGUCCCGCAACGAGCGCAACCCUUACUGUUAGUUGCUACGCAAGAGCACUCUAGCAGGACUGCCGUUGACAAAACGGAGGAAGGUGGGGAUGACGUCAAAUCAUCAUGCCCCUUAUGACCUGGGCCUCACACGUACUACAAUGGCUGUCAACAGAGGGAAGCAAAGCCGCGAGGUGGAGCGAACCCCUAAAAGCAGUCUUAGUUCGGAUUGUAGGCUGCAACCCGCCUACAUGAAGUCGGAAUUGCUAGUAAUCGCAGAUCAGCAUGCAGCGGUGAAUACGUUCCCGGGCCUUGUACACACCGCCCGUCACGCCAUGGGAGUCGGUAACACCCGAAGCCUGUAGUCUAACCGCAAGGAGGACGCAGUCGAAGGUGGGAUUGAUGACUGGGGUGAAGUCGUAACAAGGUA